This is a long non-coding RNA of Arachis stenosperma, 3485 nucleotides long. RefSeq lists it as uncharacterized. The transcript is spliced from 4 exons. The record is from RefSeq and is a predicted model, not a curated record. Lineage: Eukaryota; Viridiplantae; Streptophyta; Magnoliopsida; Fabales; Fabaceae.
GCACGAACGGCGGCUCCAGGCACACUAGCGGCUUCAGUUGGACCGGCGACAACAUGUGUUCCCCGACGGAGGCAACACGAUCGGGGAUAUGGACUAUUUUAACAUUAAGUUCCAUCAUAGAGGAACCUUUAAUAAUAAAGAGGGAGUCUGACAGUAUUUAAAAGAUGAAAACACAAUGGUGGAUUGGACAAAUCGUGAUCAAUUGGGGAUAAUUUAGGUUUAUGACAUUUUAGAGAAGUUAGGAUAUUUUGAAGACAACAUUGCUGUGUUGUGGUACAAAGAUUGUGGGUUGGGUAUAGACGAAGGGUUGAGACAGUUGAAGACUGAUGUAGAUGCAAUGGCCAUGGCGAAUGUUGGAGUUGAAAAGGGUGUUGUCAACUUGUUUGUGAUGCAUAAGACAUCUGAGCCUGAUGAUUUUCCCUAUGAGAUUGGUUAUUUAGAUGUUGGUGGUGGUAACACUAAUGAAGUAAUGAUGUUGAUGUGGAAGUGGAUGCCCAAAGUGUGGAUGUGGAGGCCUAAGUUCCUAAUAUAGUUGAGGUCCAAGUUGUUAAGGAUGUUGGUUUGGAUAAAAUUCAAAUACAUGGAGAAGAAGAAGCCCAUGCCAACAAUGCUGAUUCUUUAAGUGAGGAAGAUGAAGAUCUUUACUUCAAUGACAAUGAAGAUGAUUUCUAUGGGGAUGAUGCUCUCUUUGACGUUGACAUCACUUUGGAAGAACUGUAUCAAGAAAUUAAGAAAAAGAAAAGAAAAGAAACAUUGAGUCAAAGAAGAAGAAAAAGGCUGGCGGGGUGCAAAGCAGUGGGCUUAGUGAGGAUGAGGGGCUGGAUAGUAAUGAAUUAGAAGAUUUGCCUACUGAAGGGGACAAAGAAUACAAAACAUUUCCGGUGUAUAAUGAGUUGACGGACAUGAGUGCUUAUGGGUGGGAGGUUAGAACAUUAUUUGCUACAAGAGAGGAAUUCAAGGAUGCGGUGACUACAUAUGUCGUGCAUAGUGGCAGAAAUGGUAAGUUUCCAGUUGUCGAUAAGGGUUGAAUGAGAGCUAAUGUAAGGAUGGUUGUGGAUGGUUUGUAUAUGGAGUGAAGAUGCCGACUGAGGAUAAUUGGUUUUUUUUUUUUUUUGAAACCAACCUUCAAGAGAGAAGGCUACACACAUACAAACAAAAGAGCAAACCUAAACAAGGCCAGCCAUACUCUAACCAAACUAAGAAAGAAAACUGUCACAGUUGCAGCUCAUUAUUUAACAUCCGAGUGAUGAAAUCUAAGUGGUUUGGACAAGCUGUUUAAGAGGAAGGUUGAAGUGAAUCCAAGACUGAAUUUGAAGGAUUAAAGAAAGGGCACAAAACAAGUGGAACAUGUGCAAUUGUCAAACCCAAAAUCUUUAAGGGUAAAGAAGUUGGUGGACAUCAAUGACAGCUUUGAGGUACAAUGGCGGAGGCUAUAUUACCAUUGGCACGAGCUCCUGAUGUCAAAUUCUGGAUCCUCAGUAAAGCUUCAAGUUCAACUACUUCCAGAGGCACUAACUAAAAGUCCUACCGUCCCAAGAGGGUUAAGCACGAAUGCUCUUGUAGAAAAUUUCAUUUAACUGGUUUUCCUUGUCCUCAUGCAGUUAGUGCCAUAAAUCGUGCCAAGAAUGAUGUUAGAAAUUACGUUGAUAACUGUUAUAAAAGAGAUGCAUAUGUUGCAUUUUUUACCAACAUGUAAUUAGUUCUUGCAAUGGAGAGCAAUUGUUGGAAAGAACUGAUCGAGCAUCCAGAUUUGAUGCCCUCAACAUAUAGAAAGCCUAUAGGCCGGCCUACCAAAAAGAAAACCCGGGGACAAGAUGAAGAGCCAAGUGGUUCAACUAUGUCUAGAGCUGGGGAAGCAACAAAAAUGCUCAGGAUGUGGUGUAAUUGGACAUAAUAAGAUGGGAUGUCUACAAAGACUUCCAAGUGUGAGUUUGAAUUUCUAUUACUAGCCUAUAUCAUGUGAGUUUAAAUAUGUAAGGCUGCGUUUGUUUCUAAAAAUAGGACAAGACAUUGAGAAUAGGACAGGACAAGACAAGACACUGAUGGACAGAGAUAAAAAAUUGUGUUCUUGUAUUCUAUUUGGUGAUAAACUAGAACAAAUUAUGAAAAUUCAAUUUAUUCCUAUUUUUUUUUUCAUUCAAAAAAUUUGAGAUAAAAAAUAUAACAAUAAGAAAUAUAAUUAUGAAAAAUUAACAAGAAUAAUGAAAGAAAAAAUAAAAAAUAAGUUGUGUUAUUUGUUAGUGUCUGCGUGUCCUUCCUGUCAGGAUGGACACAAAAUACACUAAUUUAGUGUCUCUGGACACAUUGUCUCUGUACAUGUCUCCUCUGCCAAACACAAUUUUAUGUCUCAAUGUCCUGUCUCUGUAAAUAAACGCAGCUUUAGGCAAAAAUUAUUGUUAUCAUAAGAAACUACCAAUGUACUAGGUUCAAGACAAAACACGAUGGUGACAAAGAAGGCCAAACCUUCAAAAUUAACAAAAGGAACAAAAGAGACAAAGCAACAAUCAGGCAAAGCAAACAAGAUGAAGCACACAAAAGCAAUAACUUUUGAAGCUUUCAAAGCAAUGGAGAAAGAGGGUUUAGUUAGGACGGAGAGAAUUUAUAUUAGGGAUGUUCAUAAAAAAAAUAAAAUGUGGUUAAUCGGUUAAAAAACUAUAACCACAUUUUGGUUAAUCAGUUUAAUAACAAUUUUAAAAAUCAUAUCUAUAUUUUUUGAAAUUGGUUAACCAAAACCAAAUUAAAAAAAUCGAAUUUUAACUGAUUAACCAAAACCAAAACCAAAUUAAAAUCAAAACCUAAUUUCAAAAUGACAACCGUUCUCCUCUUCGACAAAACCAAAUUCACUCUUUGUCGCCGUCAACAGUUCUUCUCCUCUGCCUCUUGCCGGUGGUUCGUCGGACCUCUAUCUCUUCGAGUCAUCACUUUGAUUCGAGAUCUCUUCGAUUCAUCACUUUGAUUGGAGACUCUGUCUCUAUGCCUCGACCUCACAUUCGCGACUUUGUCUUCACUUUGAUUCGCCGGAGUAUCUCUCCUUUUAGGUUCUCUUCUUUCGUUGGUGGCUCGCCGGAGCUCAUCAAUUGAGAUUUUAAAAUCUGCCAGUAUUGAACUCUUCAUUUCAAUGGAUCCUGCUAAUGAAGUAGCCGAUCGUGAUAUUCCCAUGUCAGAAUUUGUAGAGCAUUCGACUUCUACAUUACCUUCGCUCCUAACCACAUCAUCUGAACGCAAGAUCAAUAGUUUGGGACCAUUUCAAGAGAAUCUCUGAUGAUGAAAAUAAGGCUCAAUGUUAAUACUGUUUAAAAGUGAUCAAGUGUGGAAAUGGAACAAAAGCAAUGAGAUCACAUUUAAAGAUUUGCAUAAGCAAUCCCGGUUUAGAUAGAGGCAAACGACAAAAAAACAGGCACAUCGCCUAGCUUAGAAGCACAAGUGGGUAGGUUUGAUGCAUACUAUGCUUGGGAAAAAUUGAUAUCGAUGUUUAUUCGCGAGAA